Molecule: ribosomal RNA, 579 nt
Filed under: uncultured bacterium
Lineage: Bacteria
Description: partial 16S ribosomal RNA
Rfam family: Bacterial small subunit ribosomal RNA
Source: RNAcentral
UGGGGAAUUUUGGACAAUGGGCGAAAGCCUGAUCCAGCAAUGCCGCGUGUGUGAAGAAGGCCUUCGGGUUGUAAAGCACUUUUGUCCGGAAAGAAAUCCUUGGCUCUAAUACAGUCGGGGGAUGACGGUACCGGAAGAAUAAGCACCGGCUAACUACGUGCCAGCAGCCGCGGUAAUACGUAGGGUGCAAGCGUUAAUCGGAAUUACUGGGCGUAAAGCGUGCGCAGGCGGUUUGCUAAGACCGAUGUGAAAUCCCCGGGCUCAACCUGGGAACCGCAUUGGUGACUGGCAGGCUAGAGUAUGGCAGAGGGGGGUAGAAUUCCACGUGUAGCAGUGAAAUGCGUAGAGAUGUGGAGGAAUACCGAUGGCGAAGGCAGCCCCCUGGGCCAAUACUGACGCUCAUGCACGAAAGCGUGGGGAGCAAACAGGAUUAGAUACCCUGGUAGUCCACGCCCUAAACGAUGUCAACUAGUUGUUGGGGAUUCAUUUCCUUAGUAACGUAGCUAACGCGCGAAGUUGACCGCCUGGGGAGUAACGGUCGCAAGAUUAAAACUUAAAGGAAUUGACGGGGUCAUAGCU